RNAcentral lists this ribosomal RNA (456 nucleotides) under uncultured bacterium. RNAcentral's name for it is "bacterial SSU rRNA". It matches the Rfam family "Bacterial small subunit ribosomal RNA", at positions 340 to 786 of the family's 1533-position model. The record is from RNAcentral.
UACGGAAGGCAGCAGUGGGGAAUAUUGCACAAUGGGCGCAAGCCUGAUGCAGCCAUGCCGCGUGUAUGAAGAAGGCCUUCGGGUUGUAAAGUACUUUCAGUCGUGAGGAAGGUGUUAAGGUUAAUAACCUUAGCAAUUGACGUUAGCGACAGAAGAAGCACCGGCUAACUCCGUGCCAGCAGCCGCGGUAAUACGGAGGGUGCGAGCGUUAAUCGGAAUUACUGGGCGUAAAGGGCACGCAGGCGGUUAAUUAAGUUGGAUGUGAAAUCCCCGGGCUUAACCUGGGAAUGGCAUUCAAGACUGGUUAGCUAGAGUCUUGUAGAGGGGGUAGAAUUCCGAUGUGUAGCGGUGAAAUGCGUAGAGAUGUGGAGGAAUACCGGUGGCGAAGGCGGCCCCGUGGACAAAGACUGACGCUCAUGUGCGAAAGCGUGGGGAGCAAACGAGGGAUUAGAUACC